This 498-nucleotide ribosomal RNA is filed under the name uncultured bacterium. RNAcentral describes it as "partial 16S ribosomal RNA". It matches the Rfam family "Bacterial small subunit ribosomal RNA", at positions 30 to 523 of the family's 1533-position model. The record is from RNAcentral.
AUUGAACGCUGGCGGCAUGCCUUACACAUGCAAGUCGAACGGUAACAGGUCUUCGGAUGCUGACGAGUGGCGAACGGGUGAGUAAUACAUCGGAACGUGCCUAGUAGUGGGGGAUAACUACUCGAAAGAGUGGCUAAUACCGCAUGAGAUCUACGGAUGAAAGCAGGGGAUCGCAAGACCUUGUGCUACUAGAGCGGCCGAUGGCAGAUUAGGUAGGUGGUGGGAUAAAAGCUCACCAAGCCGACGAUCUGUAGCUGGUCUGAGGGGACGAUCAGCCACACUGGGACUGGGACACGGCCCAGACUCCUACGGGAGGCAGCAGUGGGGAAUUUUGGACAAUGGGCGAAAGCCUGAUCCAGCAAUGCCGCGUGCAGGAUGAAGGCCUUCGGGUUGUAAACUGCUUUUGUACGGAACGAAAAGCCCCGGGUUAAUACCCUGGGGUCAUGACGGUACCGUAAGAAUAAGCACCGGCUAACUACGUGCCAGCAGCCGCCGUAA